UGGGGAAUAUUGGACAAUGGGCGAAAGCCUGAUCCAGCCAUGCCGCGUGUGUGAAGAAGGUCUUCGGAUUGUAAAGCACUUUAAGUUGGGAGGAAGGGCAUUAACCUAAUACGUUAGUGUUUUGACGUUACCGACAGAAUAAGCACCGGCUAACUCUGUGCCAGCAGCCGCGGUAAUACAGAGGGUGCAAGCGUUAAUAGGAAUUACUGGGCGUAAAGCGCGCGUAGGUGGUUUGUUAAGUUGGAUGUGAAAUCCCCGGGCUCAACCUGGGAACUGCAUUCAAAACUGACUGACUAGAGUAUGGUAGAGGGUGGUGGAAUUUCCUGUGUAGCGGUGAAAUGCGUAGAUAUAGGAAGGAACAGCAGUGGCGAAGGCGACCACCUGGACUAAUACUGACACUGAGGUGCGAAAGCGUGGGGAGCAAACA
RNAcentral lists this ribosomal RNA (427 nucleotides) under uncultured bacterium. Its description in RNAcentral is "partial 16S ribosomal RNA". It matches the Rfam family "Bacterial small subunit ribosomal RNA", at positions 355 to 774 of the family's 1533-position model. The record is from RNAcentral.